Molecule: unclassified non-coding RNA, 495 nt
Filed under: Hevea brasiliensis (rubber tree)
Lineage: Eukaryota; Viridiplantae; Streptophyta; Magnoliopsida; Malpighiales; Euphorbiaceae
Source: RNAcentral
UUUCAAUUUCACCCUAAAGUCAGUGAAUCCAGCAAGGGUAUUAUAGUAAAUAUUUCUGUUUUUUUUUCUUACACUUUAAAAUAAUUAUUUAAAAGGCAUUGAUAGUCGUGAGUAGCAAGGAGGUUCUUUCUUUAGGAGGCCUUGGGCUUUGGUGCUGAUGGAAGCAACUGAUAACAUGAUAUCAAAGAGGUGACAAAUCCAAAUGCUCCAGUGACGCGAGGAGUUACUUUCUUAGGUGCCAACUGAAGCAGCCCGAUUGCAACAACGACAUCCAUGGCGGCUUUAAUCAGUGCAAGGGACCGCUCAUUCGUUUGCUGGACCUUUGCACGGUAUUUCUCAUCUUCAUAUUUAUUCCUGUUCUUAAGAUCCUUCUCCAGCUUUUUUCUUGCUGAGGAAAGCCUCCCAAGCUCUCCAAGCUCAACCAAUGUGGAACAAAUUGAUGAACCCAUCCAACAAAACACUGAUAUCCUGCCAAUCAGCUCUGCUCGUUCUUUG